AUGUUGCAGUUCAGACGGAAGCUGAGCGGAGAGAGAACUGGUGGAGAGUUUCUUACAGUUAUGGAUGGGGGUGACGAGUUUGAUUGCGAGUGUGGACUUUGCAGCCAUGUGUUGAAGGUGCUGGACUUCAUCCGCAUGAAUCAGAUACAUGUGAAGCAUAUACUGAAAAGGCGGACCAAAGAUGCCCGGGAUGUACUGGCUCACCAUCUGUGUCACUAUCAGAAAAAUCUGCAUAAUAAUCCUUUCUCAUACAGACACUUCAACCUGUACAUGCAAGCCAUGGAGCUCUUUUGGCUUGGAGACACAAGCAUGGAUGCAUACGAAAGGUUGAUGGUAUGGGUCUGGGAGACAUGA
This 354-nucleotide ribosomal RNA is filed under the name Triticum aestivum (bread wheat). RNAcentral describes it as "partial small subunit ribosomal RNA". Lineage: Eukaryota; Viridiplantae; Streptophyta; Magnoliopsida; Poales; Poaceae. The record is from RNAcentral.